UCAGGAUGAACGCUGGCGGCGUGCUUAACACAUGCAAGUCGAACGAUGAACUUCACUUGUGGGGGGAUUAGUGGCGAACGGGUGAGUAACACGUGAGUAACCUGCCCUUGACUCUGGGAUAAGCCUGGGAAACCGGGUCUAAUACUGGAUACGCCCUUCUGGCGCAUGCCAUGUUGGUGGAAAGCUUUUGUGGUUUUGGAUGGACUCGCGCCCUAUCAGCUUGUUGGUGGGGUAAUGGCCUACCAAGGCGACGACGGGUAGCCGCCCUGAGAGGGUGCCCGGCCCCACUGGGACUGAGACACGGCCCAGACUCCUACGGGAGGCACCAGUGGGGAAUAUUGCCCAAUGGGCGCAACCCUGAUGCAGCGACGCCGCGUGAGGGAUGAAGCCCUUCGGGUUGUAACCCUCUUUCAGUAGGGAAGAAGCCGGCUCUUUGGGUUGGUGACGGUACCUGCAGAAGAAGCGCCGGCUAACUACGUGCCAGCAGCCGCGGUAAUACGUAGGGCGCAAGCGUUAUCCGGAAUUAUUGGGCGUAAAGAGCUCGUAGGCGGUUUGUCGCGUCUGCCGUGAAAGUCCGGGGCUUAACCCCGGAUCUGCGGUGGGUACGGGCAGACUAGAGUGCAGUAGGGGAGACUGGAAUUCCUGGUGUAGCGGUGAAAUGCGCAGAUAUCAGGAGGAACACCGAUGGCGAAGGCAGGUCUCUGGGCUGUAACUGACGCUGAGGAGCGAAAGCAUGGGGAGCGAACAGGAUUAGAUACCCUGGUAGUCCAUGCCGUAAACGUUGGGCACUAGGUGUGGGGGACAUUCCACGUUUUCCGCGCCGUAGCUAACGCAUUAAGUGCCCCGCCUGGGGAGUACGGCCGCAAGGCUAAAACUCAAAGGAAUUGACGGGGGCCCGCACAAGCGGCGGAGCAUGCGGAUUAAUUCGAUGCAACGCGAAGAACCUUACCAAGGCUUGACAUGAACCGGAAUGAUGCAGAGAUGUGUCAGCCACUUGUGGCCGGUUUACAGGUGGUGCAUGGUUGUCGUCAGCUCGUGUCGUGAGAUGUUGGGUUAAGUCCCGCAACGAGCGCAACCCUCGUUCCAUGUUGCCAGCGGGUUAUGCCGGGGACUCAUGGGAGACUGCCGGGGUCAACUCGGAGGAAGGUGGGGACGACGUCAAAUCAUCAUGCCCCUUAUGUCUUGGGCUUCACGCAUGCUACAAUGGCCGGUACAAAGGGUUGCGAUACUGUGAGGUGGAGCUAAUCCCAAAAAGCCGGUCUCAGUUCGGAUUGAGGUCUG
RNAcentral lists this ribosomal RNA (1281 nucleotides) under Arthrobacter agilis. RNAcentral's name for it is "bacterial SSU rRNA". It matches the Rfam family "Bacterial small subunit ribosomal RNA", at positions 24 to 1307 of the family's 1533-position model. Lineage: Bacteria; Bacillati; Actinomycetota; Actinomycetes; Micrococcales; Micrococcaceae. The record is from RNAcentral.